GAUGAACGCUGGCGGCGUGCCUAAUACAUGCCAGUCGAGCGAACAGACGAGGAGCUUGCUCCUCUGACGUUAGCGGCGGACGGGUGAGUAACACGUGGAUAACCUACCUAUAAGACUGGGAUAACUUCGGGAAACCGGAGCUAAUACCGGAUAAUAUAUUGAACCGCAUGGUUCAAUAGUGAAAGACGGUUUUGCUGUCACUUAUAGAUGGAUCCGCGCCGCAUUAGCUAGUUGGUAAGGUAACGGCUUACCAAGGCAACGAUGCGUAGCCGACCUGAGAGGGUGAUCGGCCACACUGGAACUGAGACACGGUCCAGACUCCUACGGGAGGCAGCAGUAGGGAAUCUUCCGCAAUGGGCGAAAGCCUGACGGAGCAACGCCGCGUGAGUGAUGAAGGUCAUCGGAUCGUAAAACUCUGUUAUUAGGGAAGAACAAAUGUGUAAGUAACUAUGCACGUCUUGACGGUACCUAAUCAGAAAGCCACGGCUAACUACGUG
This 497-nucleotide ribosomal RNA is filed under the name uncultured bacterium. RNAcentral's name for it is "partial 16S ribosomal RNA". It matches the Rfam family "Bacterial small subunit ribosomal RNA", at positions 28 to 507 of the family's 1533-position model. The record is from RNAcentral.